GAUGAACGCUGGCGGCGUGCCUAAUACAUGCAAGUCGAGCGAACGAAGGAAAGCGUGCUUCGCCGAAUGUAGGCGGGGAACGGGGGAUAACACGUGGGGUACCCUCCUAAAAGAACGGGGAAAACUCGGGAAACCCGGACCUAAAACGGGUUAUAUUUUUAAACCCAAGGGUUCAAAAGGUAAAACGGGCUUUGCGGCAACUUAAAGAUGAAUCCGGUCUGCAUUAGCUAGUUGGUAAGGUAACGGCUUACCAAGGCAACGAUGCAUAGCCGACCUGAGAGGGUGAUCGGCCACACUGGAACUGAGACACGGUCCAGACUCCUACGGGAGGCAGCAGUAGGGAAUCUUCCGCAAUGGGCGAAAGCCUGACGGAGCAACGCCGCGUGAGUGAUGAAGGUCUUCGGAUCGUAAAACUCUGUUAUUAGGGAAGAACAUAUGUGUAAGUAACUGUGCACAUCUUGACGGUACCUAAUCAGAAAGCCACGGCUAACUACGUG
RNAcentral lists this ribosomal RNA (497 nucleotides) under uncultured bacterium. RNAcentral's name for it is "partial 16S ribosomal RNA". It matches the Rfam family "Bacterial small subunit ribosomal RNA", at positions 28 to 507 of the family's 1533-position model. The record is from RNAcentral.